GUAAUAAAGGACUCAAUAAGAUUAAACUGUUUACAACAAUAUUGGAAAGAUGAAAAAUGCAUCUUUUAAGAAUUUUAUCAUUUUUAGGAUAGGUAUAAGGAUUCUAAAUAGGCAGAAGGAUCAGGAGUGAAUCAAUUAUAUUGGGAUGAUAUAAAAAAUACAUUCCACAGGAAAGGAAUGCCCGUGGAGAAAGGGGAAAGAAAGAGAAAGAAUGUUAAAAAUUAUAUCAUAUAAAAGAGGCAUACCAUAAAGAGUUUGUACAAUGGAGGAGAAAGUGGUAGGUGGUGUUGUAAGGGAUGUUAGCAGGAGUAAGCUAAAAGCAGGAAGUACAUAGGCAGAGGGAGAAAAUUCCAGAAUGCUAAAGAGACUCUCUGGAGGACAGUUAGGGGAGUUACACUCUGAAGAAGGAGAUUUUAAGCUGCCAGGAGAUUGGACUUUACUUCAAGCAAAAUUAUCCUCUGCAAGUGAAAAGUUACUUGCUGGAAUUGGAUAGAAGAAAUGUAACAUGAGGUAUAGUGUAUUUUCAUAAAAUCCAAGAUUUAAAUUUUUGUUCGAGAAAGAUCUUCAGAGAAGAAGCUUGCUAACCCCCAAAAUCCAGAGAAUGGACUGUUUGCAGAAAGAUUCCUAAACCUUUACACUACAAGAAGAUCCAGAAUGAACCUUGGGGUGCAGUUGAUUGAACUGAAGGUUAACUGAACAUUUAUUUUGAAUGUGCACUCUUAUGCCAAAGGGGACUGCCCUCUAAUUGGCUUUUGUCAAUGCGUCCAGCAAAACUUUGGUUUUGCUGUCUCUCUCUCUCUCUCCUCUAUUUCCCCCUUAUUUAUAACUAUUGUGGUUUUCCUCUUAGAGGGUAAAAUUUUGUAUACAUCUGCAGUUAGAAAUUUUUGGGGUGCACGACACUUAUGUUUAGUGAUCAAUUGGGGAGACUAGUCCCCCAAUCAUCAUCAGGAGGGAUUGUGAUUUUUAAAUUUCCUCCAUCUUGCUUGGUUUAGCACCCAGGAAUGUGCACACCCACAGUACACGGGCAUGUGCUAACUAAUGACAAAUGGGAAACAUCUAACUACCCCCUUGGGCUAUCCUAAGCUAAGCUUGAGCUACCAUUGGCACAUGUGAGACACAGGAAGUAAGGUAGAGAACAGCCUCUGGAGUUCUUGUCAUUUCCUGUGGAGAAGGCUAGACACCAGUUUGAUACUGGAGCUUGAGCUGGGAGGAGGCCCGCAGACAACUUUCCUUCAGAUCGGUUAUGUGAGUUAUAAGGACUGACUCCCUUCUCUGCCUUGGCUCUCCAAGGCCUAAAACUCCCACUUGGCUCAGCCUGAGCCAGAGUGGUUGAGUUAACCUCCUUUCCUUCUCUCCCUUUCUCUCUCUCCCUCUGAUAAUUUCUUCCUCCUGUUGUAAUUAAAUCACCAUAAACUCCAUUCUGACUUGAGUGUUUCAUUAGAAUUUUGUAAAUAAAAUCCUUUGGCAACCAAUAAUUAUAUUCA
Molecule: long non-coding RNA, 1484 nt
Filed under: Monodelphis domestica (gray short-tailed opossum)
Lineage: Eukaryota; Metazoa; Chordata; Mammalia; Didelphimorphia; Didelphidae
Description: lncRNA (ENSMODG00000051306.1)
Source: RNAcentral